UUAGUCUUAAUAAUAGUUUUUUAUAUUUUGUUAUAAUUAAAUUCUUUAUAUUUUUUAAUUUUUUUUGUUUUAAUUUUUUAUUAGGAUUUUGUUUGAAAUUAUUUCUUAUAAGGAAUAAUGAUUUAAUUAGUAUUGUUUAUAAUUGUAAUUUAGGAAUUUGGCAACUUUUAAUUUUAGCUGUUUAAUAAAAACAUGUCUUUUAGUAAUCUUAUUUAAAGUCUAACCUGCCCAAUGAUUUAUAUUUAAUGGCUGCAGUAUUUUAACUGUACGAAGGUAGCAUAAUAAUUUGUCUAUUAAUUAUAGACUAGUAUGAAAGGUUUUAUAAAAUUUAGUCUUUCUUAGUUAUAAAUAUAUGAAUUUAAUUUUUUAGUUAAAAAGCUAAUAUUUUUUUAUAGGACGAGAAGACCCUAUAGAACUUUAACCUAAAUAAAUAUAUUAUAUAUUUAUUUAGGUUAGAUUGGGGAGAUAUAAAUUUUUAAUUAACAAUUUUUUUUUCUAUCAAUAAUUUUUGAUUUUUUGAUCCAGUUUUUCUGAUUAUAAGAUUAAGUUACCUUAGGGAUAACAGCGUAAUUUGAUUGGAGAGUUCUUAUCGAUAAUUUAAGUUUGCGACCUCGAUGUUGAAUUAAGAUUAAAAUUGGGGGUAGUCUCUUAUAUUUUUUGGUCUGUUCGACCAUUAAUUUCUUACAUGAUUUGAGUUUAGACCGGCGUGAGCCAGGUCGGUUUCUAUCCUUAAUAGUUAUUAUUAUUUUUUAGUACGAGAGGACCAAGAAUUUAAUUAAAAUUUU
Molecule: ribosomal RNA, 785 nt
Filed under: Membracioides sp. UCR ENT 00093407
Lineage: Eukaryota; Metazoa; Arthropoda; Insecta; Hemiptera; Schizopteridae
Description: partial large subunit ribosomal RNA
Rfam family: Bacterial large subunit ribosomal RNA (bases 394-729)
Source: RNAcentral